This 547-nucleotide ribosomal RNA is filed under the name uncultured bacterium. RNAcentral's name for it is "bacterial SSU rRNA". It matches the Rfam family "Bacterial small subunit ribosomal RNA", at positions 358 to 916 of the family's 1533-position model. The record is from RNAcentral.
GGAAUAUUGGGCAAUGGAGGAAACUCUGACCCAGCGACGCCGCGUGCGGGAUGAAGGCCUUCGGGUUGUAAACCGCUUUCAGUAGGGAAGAAGCGAAAGUGACGGUACCUACAGAAGAAGCACCGGCUAACUAUGUGCCAGCAGCCGCGGUAAUACAUAGGGUGCAAGCGUUGUCCGGAAUUAUUGGGCGUAAAGAGCUCGUAGGUGGUUCGUUACGUCGGAUGUGAAAAUCUGGGGCUCAACCCCAGACCUGCAUCCGAUACGGGCGAUCUAGAGUUUGGUAGGGGAGACUGGAAUUCCUGGUGUAGCGGUGGAAUGCGCAGAUAUCAGGAGGAACACCAAUGGCGAAGGCAGGUCUCUGGGCCAAUACUGACACUGAGGAGCGAAAGCGUGGGGAGCGAACAGGAUUAGAUACCCUGGUAGUCCACGCCGUAAACGGUGGGCGCUAGUUGUGGGAACCUUCCACGGUUUCUGCGACGCAGCUAACGCAUUAAGCGCCCCGCCUGGGGAGUACGAUCGCAAGAUUAAAACUCAAAGGAAUUGACGG